UUAAAAUAUGGCUACCUCUAAAUAUGUCGCCCUGCUCAUGAUUUUUCUAUUCUCCAGCUCUUUUAUUGGUGAAUGUAAGUCUAAUUUUCAUUUAUAUUUCGUGUUUUUAUAUUUACAUUAUUAUUAUAAUUAUUUGUUUAAUUAUGCAGGCGGCGAGUUGAUGAACAAGAGCUCAGGAAAGAUGGUCAAGACAGAUGAUAGAGGAGACCACUUAAUCCAUUUCUGUAUACCUUAUCUCUGUACAAAAGAAAAUCCCAACAUUGAAGUUUGUUGGUGUUGUGUUGAUGCAAGUUAUAGAACUGAGGGAGAUUGUGUUUCUUCAAAAAAACUUUGUCAAGAAAUUUGUACUUGAUCAAAUUCAAUUAGUAUUGCAUUG
This 376-nucleotide long non-coding RNA is filed under the name Daucus carota (carrot). RNAcentral describes it as "long non-coding RNA (DCAR_LNC004619)". The record is from RNAcentral. Lineage: Eukaryota; Viridiplantae; Streptophyta; Magnoliopsida; Apiales; Apiaceae.